This 484-nucleotide ribosomal RNA is filed under the name uncultured bacterium. Its description in RNAcentral is "partial 16S ribosomal RNA". It matches the Rfam family "Bacterial small subunit ribosomal RNA", at positions 30 to 507 of the family's 1533-position model. The record is from RNAcentral.
AUUGAACGCUGGCGGCAGGCCUAACACAUGCAAGUCGAGCGGAUGAAGGGAGCUUGCUCCUGGAUUCAGCGGCGGACGGGUGAGUAAUGCCUAGGAAUCUGCCUGGUAGUGGGGGAUAACGUCCGGAAACGGGCGCUAAUACCGCAUACGUCCUGAGGGAGAAAGUGGGGGAUCUUCGGACCUCACGCUAUCAGAUGAGCCUAGGUCGGAUUAGCUAGUUGGUGGGGUAAAGGCCUACCAAGGCGACGAUCCGUAACUGGUCUGAGAGGAUGAUAAGUCACACUGGAACUGAGACACGGUCCAGACUCCUACGGGAGGCAGCAGUGGGGAAUAUUGGACAAUGGGCGAAAGACUGAUCCAGCCAUGCCGCGUGUGUGAAGAAGGUCUUCGGAUUGUAAAGCACUUUAAGUUGGGAGGAAGGGCAGUAAGUUAAUACCUUGCUGUUUUGACGUUACCAACAGAAUAAGCACCGGCUAACUUCGUG